RNAcentral lists this non-coding RNA (162 nucleotides) under Schistosoma margrebowiei. RNAcentral describes it as "Eukaryotic small subunit ribosomal RNA". It matches the Rfam family "Eukaryotic small subunit ribosomal RNA", at positions 1667 to 1823 of the family's 1831-position model. The record is from Rfam by way of RNAcentral. Lineage: Eukaryota; Metazoa; Platyhelminthes; Trematoda; Strigeidida; Schistosomatidae.
CACCGCUCCUCGCUACUACUAACGAUUCAGUGGUUUAGUGAGGUCGUUGAAUUGGUGUCGUUGUAGUGGCUUUGCCGAUCUAAUGAUGCUGAGAUGAUCUUAUUUGACUAUUUAGACGAAGUAAGAGUUUUAACGAGGUUUCCGUAGGUGAACCUGCGGAAG